Molecule: non-coding RNA, 979 nt
Organism: Amborella trichopoda
Lineage: Eukaryota; Viridiplantae; Streptophyta; Magnoliopsida; Amborellales; Amborellaceae
Source: RefSeq, a predicted model, not a curated record
GAGAGAGAGAAUGGGUUCUCUGGGGAUUGGAGGUGGGUUUGGGUGGAAAUAUCAUUUUGGAAGGAAACAUGGACACCCAAGAAGAGCAAAGGCUUGUGAAUCAGGAGAUGGUGAGUCCACCCUUGAAGGAAAUGGUGAUUGGAAUUUCAAAUUCCCAUUGAAACCAGCUCUUACUGCGGCCUCUCUCGCUCUUACUGGUGAUACCAUUGCCCAGAUUACCCGCCCAACAACUCCAACAACCUCAACUCAACAGCCCCAUCUCACAAAAAAGGAUGCAAUAUCAAAUCAUGAUUGGCUUCGAGCACUCCGAAUGGCCGCCUAUGGGUUUCUUCUGUAUGGUCCUGGAUCACAUGCAUGGUACCAGUUGCUUGAUAGCACUUUACCAAAGCAAACACUUGAAAACCUGACACUGAAGGUUAUAUUGAAUCAGGUUGUUCUUGGUCCAUGUGUGAUUGCUGUAAUUUUUGCAUGGAAUAACCUUUGGAUUGGAAGGCUUUCAGAGCUCCCUAAAAAAUAUCAGAAUGAUGCACUUCCUACACUCUUCAAUGGGUUUAAAUUCUGGAUCCCUGUCAGUGUGCUGAAUUUUGGGGUGGUUCCUCUUGAGGCUCGUGUGGCAUUCAUGUCAACCUGCUCCAUAUUUUGGAAUUUUUACCUCUCAUCCACCAUGAGUAGGUAGCCGACAUUAAAUACUCACCAUGGGGAAAGAUCAACUCUUCUAUUCAACAGAAACGUCCUUCUACACCAGGACCAGCAGAAACAUACAUUGUUUGAGGAGGAGAUGGUUCAUUGGGCAUCAAGUGUCGGGGUUACCAUUGGUUUUCAAACCAUUUUGCCAUCUGAAAUAAUUGCUUUUGAGAUUUGGAUGCCAGUUUGUUGUGAAAGGAACUUGUGUGGACAAAUAAUGACUUGCCACUUCCUGUGGUCAUGGCAUUGGAAAGUAUGUUACUUAAAUGAUUCAUGGUAGUUCUUUUGCUUAGUG